RNAcentral lists this transfer-messenger RNA (356 nucleotides) under Dehalococcoidia. Its description in RNAcentral is "GCA-002708145 sp002712125 Standard tmRNA". It matches the Rfam family "transfer-messenger RNA". Rfam says of the family: Bacterial tmRNA, also known as 10Sa RNA or SsrA, is named for its dual tRNA and mRNA-like properties. Its role is to liberate the mRNA from a stalled ribosome. RNAcentral also lists the same sequence under 2 other names. The record is from RNAcentral. Lineage: Bacteria; Bacillati; Chloroflexota.
GGGGACGCGUGGUUUAGACAGGAAUUUAGGUUUUUGAUUUGCGGGUCGUGGCGCCGUGCACCACGUUAAAAGCGGCAAAAUUAUAAAUGGCGAUAAAGAAUUCGCUCUCGCUGCUUAAUAAAUAGUUAGCGACGUUCAAAAUUAUUUCUGCUCGAUGGAUUUUUUUGAGCGACGAUUAGUCGAGCUGCAGUGUAUGAUUCGUUAGUACCAUACAACUAAGAAAUUACUAACUGGUCAUUGUAAUUUCUGCCGACGGGAUUAUUACAGUGAUAAGAUUUUUUCCGACGGCUACACUCGUAGAGAUCAAAUUUUUAACUUUUCUGGACGGGGAGUUCAACUCUCCCCCGUCUCCACCA